This 253-nucleotide ribosomal RNA is filed under the name uncultured bacterium. RNAcentral describes it as "partial 16S ribosomal RNA". It matches the Rfam family "Bacterial small subunit ribosomal RNA", at positions 524 to 776 of the family's 1533-position model. The record is from RNAcentral.
UACGAAGGGGGCUAGCGUUGUUCGGAAUCACUGGGCGUAAAGGGCGCGCAGGCGGUUCUGUUUGUCGAGUGUGAAAGCCCCGGGCUCAACCUGGGAACUGCGCUCGAAACGGCGGAACUAGAGUUCGGGAGAGGAGAGUGGAAUUCCCAGUGUAGAGGUGAAAUUCGUAGAUAUUGGGAAGAACACCGGUGGCGAAGGCGGCUCUCUGGACCGAUACUGACGCUGAGGCGCGAAAGCGUGGGGAGCAAACAGG